Molecule: long non-coding RNA, 5772 nt
Organism: Mus musculus (house mouse)
Lineage: Eukaryota; Metazoa; Chordata; Mammalia; Rodentia; Muridae
Product: predicted gene, 39786
Exons: 2
Source: RefSeq, a predicted model, not a curated record
UUCACUGUAUAGUCCAGGCUGGUUUCAAACUCACCUCCUGCCCCAGGCCCCACGAGAGAGCAAAAGCCCAGUGGUUAAGAAGCCUCAGAAUCUUCUCUAGGAAGAGACAGGAGGGCUUCAUUGAGUUUGUCCAUGGCCAAGCACUGGCUGCUUGGAUGCUGGUCAGCUUCACCAAUGGUCGGUAUAGAUCAACAUAGAACCUGACUCUAAAUCAUCUGGUAAACUCUCCAACUGAGCAGACAUAAGGAGUUUGGCCUUUCCAGGUCACAUCAGAGUUGCUUAGUUCAUGGACCCUACAAGGCAACCCUACAAGGCAUCAGUUGCUGGCACCUGUUGUAUGUCUCUAUGGCAGUUGGUUCUGGAGCUGGGCCAUGCCAUUGUAAGAUUCGUGGUAGCUCAAAAUAACCACGGUUGUAAAAAGUAAAUGUGUUCUUUUCCCAGAAUUUGCCUCACUGCAUGCAAGGUAUGCCAAGAGAUAGGCCUCUGAGUAUAUAGAAAAGCCCACACAAUGUCUCCGGCCCUUAAGUCUUCCUUAAGUCUGCCCCCUUAAUGCCAUUAAAGGUUAACCAAUGAAAAACUGCUCUAAGAAACGUAUAAAAGGUGUGUGUUUUAGCUACUCAGGGUCGUUUCAAUCCCAAUUUCAGGAAGAGCCCAGCAUGCUGGAUUAAUAAACCUCUUGCUUUUUGCAUCGAUCUCCGUCUCUGCAUCUCUGUGAGUGGGGCAUCCCGGACGUAAGGCUUUUUGGAUCUUACAUUUGGUGGGUUGGUCCGGAAAGUCCUUCUUGCAGGACCAGUGGCUGAGACCAGAAGACUGCUCCAGCAGAGGAAAAACAGCGCAUCCUCUUGGAGGCCAGGAAGAACGUCCAAGGGGAGGAUCGGUGUCCUUCCCUCCUGCCUGUGGAUAUUGAUGCAGGCUUCCCAUUGACCAGACCGAACUGGAACUUCAACACCCCAGAAGGUAGGAAGCAUCUCAAAGUCUACCGCUAUGCUCUAAUGGCAGGUCUCAGAGGGGCAGCACACAACCCUACCACUUUGACUAAGGUAAGGGAAGUGGUGCAGGGGCCAAAUGAGUCUCCCUCUGCCUUCCUAGAGAGACUCAUGGAGGCCUUUCACCAAUUUACCCCUUUGAUCCUAACAGUGAGGAGCAUAAGGCAACAGUUACUGUCACCCUUAUCAGCCAAGCUAGCAGAGAUAUAAGGAAAAAGUUGCAGAAACUUGAAGAGUUACAGGACAGGUCCUUGAGAGAGUUAGUGCAAGUAGCCGAGAAGGUAUAUCAUAACCAAGAGUCAGGAGAAGAGAAGAAGGAGAGAAAGCAGAAAGAACAGGAGGCUAGAGAGCUCGAAAGAGAGAAGAGACAGGACAAGAACCUCCAUAGGAUCUUGGCCGCUGUAGUUAGACAAACUAGAGAACCUAGUAAGACAAUACCAGGCAACAGAAGGGAGCCUCUGGCUAAGGACCAAUGAGCUUACUGUAAAGAAAAAGGUCAUUGGAUGAGAGACUGUCCCAAGGAGAAGAAGAGGGAACCUCAAGCCUCUGAAAAGAGACUACCAGGCCCCAAGGUGCUAGCUAUGCAAGAAGACAGUGACUGGGGGAGACAUAUUCAGAUCCCCUCCCAAACCCAGGGUAACCCUUAAAGUGGAGGGGAAACCCACCCAGUUUCUUGUAGACACAGGGGCCCAACACUCAGUCCUAUUACAAACAGAUGGACCCAUUUCCAAUAAGAAGUCCGGGGUCCAGGGGGCCACAGGAAACAAACAAUACUCAUGGACUACCGGAAGAACAGUGGAUCUUGGUGUGGGCAGGGUAUCCCACUCGUUCAUUGUUAUUCCUGAAUGCCUCUAUCCCCUGCUGGGGAGAGACCUCCUCACCAAGAUAGGAGCACAGAUCCAUUUCCUUCCUGAGGGAACACAGGUCAAGGGCCGUCAGGGAGAGUCUAUCCAGGUAUUGACCAUGAAGUUAGAGGAUGAAUAUCAAUUGUUUGAAGACAGGAGUCAAAAAGUUAAAGAUAUGGAUUGGUGGUUGCAGAACUAUCCACAGGCAUGGGCAGAGACUGCAGGAAUGGGGAAAGCCAAAAAUCACACACACACACACACACACACACACACACACACACACACACACACAGAGUCUAUGUAGACCUGAAAGCCCAAGCUAGCCCGAUAACAGUCUGCCAGUAUCCUAUGUCUAAGGAAACUCGAGAUGGAAUUCGACCUCACAUUUUGCACCUCCUCCAAUUGAGGACUCUGCAAAAAUGUCAGUUUGUGCCAGGUGUGGCGGCGCACGCCUUUAAUCCCAGCACUUGGGAGGCAGAGGCAGGUGGAUUUCUGAGUUCAAGGCCAGCCUGGUCUACAAAGUGAGUUCCAGGACAGUCAGGGCUAUACAGAGAAACCCUGUCUCGAAAAACCAAAAAAAAAAAAAUCAAUCAAUCAAUCAAUCAAUCAAUCAAUCAGUCUGCAUGGAACACCCCACUCCUCCCCAUGCAGAAGCCUGGAACUAAUGACUAUUGACCUGUCCAGGACCUCAGGGAAGUGAAUAAGCAGGUAACUGAUCUCCACCCGACGGUCCCGCAUCCAAAUAAUCUGUUGAGUUCCUUGCCUCCCUCCAGAACUUGGUACACAGUGUUGGAUCUCAAAGAUGCCUUCUUCUGCCUAUCCCUGGCCACCAAGAGUCAGGAAUAUUUUGCCUUUGAAUGGAAAGACCCAGACUCGGGCAUGACGGGCCAACUCACCUGGACACGUCUGCCCCAACACUUGAAGAACUUUUCCACUAUUGUUGAUGAAGCCCUCCACCAAGACUUGGCCACAUUCCGGGCAGCCAACCCCCAGGUAACUCUCUUGCAGUACUUAGAUGGCCUUCUUUUAGUUGCUUCCAGCAAAGACCUGUGCUUUAUAAGGAACAGAGCGCCUCCUCACUGAACUGGGAGAACUGGGCUACAGUGCCUCAGCUAAAAAGGCCCAAAUCUGCAGCCAGCAGGUUAGUUACCUGGGGUAUCUGCUCAAGGGAGGAAAGAUGUGGCUUCAGAAGCUAGAAAAGAAACUGUGUUCCAUAUUCCACUGCCCACCAACCAGAAACAAGUCAGAGAGUUUUUGGGCAUGGCAGGUUUCUAUUGUCUAUGGAUACCUGGAUUCGCUGAGAUGGCAGCUCCACUAUACCCACUCACUAAGAACAAAUACCUUUUGCCUGGGGAGAAAAAGAGCAAUGGGCUUUUGAUGCCAUUAAGACAGCCUUAAUGUCAGCCCCUGCCCUGGGUCUCCCAGAUGUGACCAAGCCCUUCCAUUUGUUUGUCGCAGAAAAUAAGGGCAUAGCAAAAGGGGUCUUGACCCAGAAGCUGGGACCAUGGAAAAGGCCAGUAGCAUAUCUGUCCAAAAAGCUAGACCCAGUGGCAGCAAGGUGGCCUGCCUGCCUGAGGAUUGUGGCUGAGGUUGCUGUACUGGUUAAAGAUGCAGACAAAUUAACUAUGGGACAGGACUUGGUAGUAUCUGUUCCACACCCUUUGAAGAGCGUGGUCUGCCAGCCGCCUGAUCCGUGGCUCAUCAGUGCUCGUAUGACAUACUAUCAGACUCUGUUGCUCAACUCUUGACAGAAUUAUGUUUGCACCCCCUACGGGCCUGAACCCGGCCACUCUGCUCCCAGACCCUGACCUUGAGCCUCCUAUUCAUGACUGUCAGCAAGUACUUGCUGAAGCACACGGCUGGCGUAAAGAUUUGUCUGAUCAGCCCUUAGAGGUCACUGAGGCCACUUGGUUUACUGAUGGGAGCAGUUUCCUGGAAGGAGAGAAGCAGGGGGGGGGGGCUGCCAUACGUGUGGGCAUAAGCUCUGCCUGAAGGGACCUCCACCCAAAAGGCUGGGCUCUUUGCUCUCACCAAGGCCCUCGAGUUGGGGGAAGGCAAGAAGAUCAACAUCUACAUGGACAGCAGGUAUGCCUUUGCCACAGCGCAUGUUCAUGGUGCCGCCUACCAGCAGCAAGGGCUGCUGACCUCCAGAGAAAAAGAGAUUAAACACAAAACUGAGAUUCUGGCCCUGUUAAAAGCCCUGCAGAAGCCAGCAAAAGUAAGUAUCAUACAUUGUCCGGGCCACCAGAAGAGCUAGAGGAAAUAACCUGGCAGACCGACCAGGAGGCCAAAGCAGUGGCCUCAAGAGUCACCCCAGUGAUGGUGGUCCGAGACCCGGGAAUACUGGGACCCAAGCUCUGGUACUCUGCUGAAGAUCUGGCAAUCAUCUCAAAAGAUCCCAAUAACUGUCUCGAUCAAGAAAGAGAAUUCUGAAGCCAGGUGUGGUGGUGCACUCCUUUAAUCCCAGCACUUGGGAGGCAGAGGCAGGCGGAUUUCUGAGUUUGAGGUUAGCUUGGUCUACAGAGUGAGUUCCAGGACAGCCAGGACAGUCAGAGCUACAAAGGGAAACCCUGUCUCAAAAAACACACAAACAAACAAACAAUCAAACAAACAAACAAACAAACAGAAAGAGAGAACUCAUUUCAUUCUUUCUACCUGCCCUGAACUUUGAGGUCUAUAGACACAAUGUAAUUUCCAAUCGACCUCUAGAUUGAUGCAUGGCAUCAAUGCCAUCAGGAAAGAAGAUUCUACCACAAGAACAAGCACAAUGACAAGACAAAUGCAUCAAUGGACUCAUCUGGGGGUAAGCAAACUAAUUCAAACUGCUUUGAAAUCUAAGUAUUAUAUUCCAGGAUUAAAACACCUGGUGGAACAAAUCGUUCACAACUGCAUGCCCUGUCAAAAGGGAAAUGCUUGCAGAAGCAAAGCUGCCCCCGUCAGAGACUCAGAGGAGAUUGACCAGGAGGAGCCUACUGGGAAGUGGACCUCACUGAAGUAAAACUGAGCAAGUAUGGCUCUAAGUGCCUUCUAGUGUUUGUGGAUACUUUUCAGGAUGGGUAGAAGCUUUACCCACCAAGCAGGAGUCGGCCUCCGUAGUUGCCAAGAAGAUACUGGAAGAGAUCUUUCCUUGGUUUGGAGUACCCAAGGUAAUAAGGUCAGACAAUGGCCCUGCCUUCACUGCCAAAGUCAGGGAGUGACCAAGUAUCUAGAGGUCGAUUGGAAAUUACAUUGUGUCUAUAGACCUCAAAGUUCAGGGCAGGUAGAAAGAAUGAAUAGAACUCUAAAGGAGACCUUGACUAAAUUAACCAUGGAGACUGGCACAGUCUGGGUGGUACUCCUUCCCCUAGCCCUGUUUAGGGUCAGAAAUAUCCCUUCCCGUUUCAGUUUGACUCCCUUUGAAAUCCUGUAUGGGACCCCAGUGCCCCUAACUCUACUGGGGGACGUUAUUGAACCAACCUGCCAUAGUAAUGAUUUAUAUGCUAGGUUAAAAGGUCUACAGGUGGUGCGAAAAGAAGUGUGGUCCCAGUUGGCAGCUGCCUACGAACCUGGCACCCCUGAGGCAUCACAUGGCUCCAGGUUGGAGAUUUAGUCUACGUGAGGUGACAUCAUGCCCAGACACUUGAGCCCCGGUGGAAAGGACCCUACUUAGUACUGCUGACCACUCCAACAACUGUAAAAUUGGACAGAAUCACUGCCUGGAUACAUGCCUCACAUAUGAAGCCUGCCCCCUCAACAGAAACUGGAGUUCCAGAAGACCACCUUAUCUGAAAGGCCCAGACUACAGAGAACCCUCUGAAACUGAAAAUCACCAGGAAGCCUAAAGAUGGGAGUCCUCCCCCUGGUACUGUGUCUUAACAUCCUCCCCUUAUGUUUUACCAGCCCUGGUCCCCACCAGCCUUGUAACCUAACGUGGCAAGUAAUAAAUGGGGCAGGAGACACUA